CCGUCGCGGCGGCCGCCUGGGUGGCCGCAAGCAGGGAGGUGGUGGCGGCGGCGGUGCUCAGGGAGGAGCACCUCGCCAGCAGCAGCCGGCCCCUUAGCCGGCGGCCCCGUGGUACGCCGGCCAGAACCCGUGGACCGGCGUCGUCCACGCCUACUCCAUGCCGGUUCCACGGGCUCCCUCUCCGGGUCUUCUUGGCACCCGGCCUCCGUCACACCAGGCGUACUACGCCGCGCCGCAGCCCUACGCGGCGCCCUACGGGCAGCAGCCGCCGCCAGGCGGGCCGCCGCUGCUGCCCCUGACGUCUGCGCCGUCCCUCCCGCCGGCGCCGUGGGACCCGGCUCUCCUGGCGGCUCUCCACACCGCCCCUUCCCCGUCCAGCUACACCGGCGGCGGCGAUUGGUAAAAUAUCAUCAUUGCCAGGUAUAACCAACUCGAGUGACAACUAGGAUCUCACCCCGGAGCUCAAGACCGGGUCUUCGGGUACCACCAUCCUCGAAGUCAGUCAUGUGUUGUCGCCACAAUUUUUCCGCAAUCCAAGCAUCUACAUGUGAUGCGACAGCCGCUGCUCCACAACCAUCCCUAUGCAUUCAAUCCGUCAUCCAUAGUUUCCAUCCCACAGCCAAAGUCACGCUUGGACGCGCGAAGCGCAACUGCUCCUAGACCAGGAGCGCACAUCCGCCAGAUCAGCCUCGCUCCUGCCGACUGGAGCAUUGUGCCUACCCUGGGCACGUAGCCUGCCACAACAUAGUCCAUCACCAACAGCGGAGCACAUGCCGCGGAUGUAGUGGCGCUCACCGUGUGGAUCUGGACGAGACUAGUUAGAGAUCACUCCUCCAACCAUCCUACAAUCGCCCCGGCAAACUACGGCCAGACCUGUCGAGUUGGAACCACUGCCCAAAUGCAGGAGUGGAUAGCCGCGACCCGAAGGGCCAGACUCUCGCAUCCACGGUUUCAGUGGGGCCAUGGAUUUGACUAAGCUACUCUAUAGAACAACAGAACAGUAACAUGGACCAUGCAAAUGUGGCACCAAGCAAAAUGUCAUACCAAUCAUUGGGAGAAAUGACAAAUGGUUUCUCUAAGGAAAGGGAACUUGGUAGAGGCGCAUAUGGAACCGUCUAUUUGGUAUG
Molecule: long non-coding RNA, 1127 nt
Organism: Triticum dicoccoides
Lineage: Eukaryota; Viridiplantae; Streptophyta; Magnoliopsida; Poales; Poaceae
Exons: 2
Source: RefSeq, a predicted model, not a curated record